Molecule: ribosomal RNA, 267 nt
Filed under: uncultured bacterium
Lineage: Bacteria
Description: partial 16S ribosomal RNA
Rfam family: Bacterial small subunit ribosomal RNA
Source: RNAcentral
GUUCAUGCUGUGACCGAUGAAUAUUGACUAUUGGAAAUUUUUCCAUUAGCUAAGCUAACGCGUUAAAUAUUCCACCUGGGGACUAUAAUCGCAAGAUUGAAACUCAAAGAAAUUGACUGAGAUUUGUACAAGCGGUGGAGCAUGUGGUUUAAUUCGAUAUAAAUCGAUAAAUCUUACCAAUUUUUGAUAUGCAGAUAUAAUUUAUAUUUUAUAAAAAAAUAAAUUAUUAUUAAUUAUUUUAAUUGUACAGUGUUGCAUGGCUGUCGU